UUUCUCUGGGUCUUUGUUGAAACUGUGAAUGAACACAACUGCGUUUCGUGCCUGUGUUUUAUGGUUCUUGGGCUUAAAAUCAUUCUGGUAACCGGGGCAGCAUUGGAGGAAGGGAAUUGGGAUUUCUUGAGACUAACCAUCCAUAUAGCUUCUAAUCCAUUGCGUAGCCUGCACAUUUGGGUUUUCAGUCUUGGAGAGUUGCUUGUUGGGGCGCCGCACUGAGAUAGCAAUCAAGAAACGCGAAGCCCGCAAGGCCCAAGCUACCACUACUCCUAGCGCGCCACCCACCCACAGGUGCCCCACCCACAGGUGCCCCACCUGUGGCAGAGGACUCUUCGUCUGGAUUGGCCUUAUCGGUCAUCUCUGGGUCCACCAACAGAAAACCUCAAGCUAACCAGCGAACUUGACCAUCUUCGAAAACGAAGGGCGAACAACAAUAUGUAUGCUUUGUUUUCCUUACUGCUUUGCACACACACGGCCUACGUUUAUGAAUUGUUUGGCAGUGUAAAUAUGACACGCCCCUAGAACUCCUGUCACAAUGUCAGUUCUGUUAUUCCUGGAAGACUGGGAAACCACAAGUCUGUAAUUAUCUGGACAUGGUACCUUUUCAUGUACAUGUGGUUAUAUGUUUUUCGGUUUGACGGAAUUUCAUAACAUUUUGGUAGAUCCAGACUUUUUCACGUUUGUUUUGACUAAAUAUUCAGGGUAGAAAACCUUAUUGUCUUUUUAUUGUCCUUUUGGAAAGAAUGGAAACUAAAGUUUGUUUUGGGUUUAUUUUUCAUGCAUAUCAUGUACAUGUAUAAUUACACUGUAAGCACAACUGAUGCAAGUUUCUUGUAAUUUCUUUAUAGUUUUAUCACAUAUCUUUAUCA
Long non-coding RNA from Acanthaster planci (crown-of-thorns starfish), 872 nucleotides. NCBI's taxonomy places the organism in Eukaryota, Metazoa, Echinodermata, Asteroidea, Valvatida, Acanthasteridae. The record is from RefSeq and is a predicted model, not a curated record.